This is a non-coding RNA of Podarcis lilfordi (Lilford's wall lizard), 76 nucleotides long. Lineage: Eukaryota; Metazoa; Chordata; Lepidosauria; Squamata; Lacertidae. The record is from the annotation of a GenBank genome assembly.
GGAAGAGUCCAUAGCUUAGUGGUAGAGCACAUGCUUUGCAUGUAAUUAGACUUAGGUUCAAUCCCUAGUGUUUCCA